RNAcentral lists this ribosomal RNA (492 nucleotides) under uncultured bacterium. RNAcentral describes it as "partial 16S ribosomal RNA". It matches the Rfam family "Bacterial small subunit ribosomal RNA", at positions 29 to 507 of the family's 1533-position model. The record is from RNAcentral.
AGUGAACGCUGGCGGUAGGCCUAACACAUGCAAGUCGAACGGCAGCACAGUAAGAGCUUGCUCUUACGGGUGGCGAGUGGCGGACGGGUGAGGAAUACAUCGGAAUCUACUUUUUCGUGGGGGAUAACGUAGGGAAACUUACGCUAAUACCGCAUACGACCUACGGGUGAAAGCAGGGGAUCUUCGGACCUUUCGCGAUUGAAUGAGCCGAUGUCGGAUUAGCUAGUUGGCGGGGUAAAGGCCCACCAAGCCGACGAUCCGUAGCUGGUCUGAGAGGAUGAUCAGCCACACUGGAACUGAGACACGGUCCAGACUCCUACGGGAGGCAGCAGUGGGGAAUAUUGGACAAUGGGCGCAAGCCUGAUCCAGCCAUACCGCGUGGGUGAAGAAGGCCUUCGGGUUGUAGAGCCCUUUUGUUGGGAAAGAAAAGCAGCAGGUUAAUACCCCGCUGUUCUGACGGUACCCAAAGAAUAAGCACCGGCUAACUUCGUG